Long non-coding RNA from Crotalus tigris (Tiger rattlesnake), 728 nucleotides. RefSeq lists it as uncharacterized. NCBI's taxonomy places the organism in Eukaryota, Metazoa, Chordata, Lepidosauria, Squamata, Viperidae. The transcript is spliced from 4 exons. The record is from RefSeq and is a predicted model, not a curated record.
GACCGUUGGGGCUGUGGUUGAUCGAAAGCAGGGAUGUAUUGGGGUUUCCAUUUGAAGAAAAGAAGCUGAGGCCGCAGGCCUAAAGUCUAGAUCUAACAACAAAGUGGACAUAUCCUCUGGAUCCAUGUGGCAGAAGCCUACCAUCUUUGACAAAAGAAAUCAAGCAUGAUAAUACCACAACUGGGAUCAACCAUUCUACACAAAGUAGAGAGGUCUCUUUGUUCUCACCAUCUGAAUAUUCUGAGUGCUGAGAAAUUGCGACAAUAUUCUCAGACAGAUGAUCAGGCUGAAGAAUGUUGACAUGUAACUGGGCACUCCAUUCCACUGAAAAGAAAAAUAAUCAGGUCUUUCUUCCCACCUCUCCAGCAGCUCCUCAAAACUCUUCUGGAAGAACUUCCAAUUCUCUGAAUUUAUAGGAGAGCAAUGCAAGGGGACAGGCAGUUAUCCCUCUCCCAACUCCACUGCAGGCUAUCCGCAUAUAAGUGGCAUUGAGUUUCCCUCGUUGUAAGACUAACGAAAUAACUCUUCCUGACAGGAUUACUAACAGCAUCCUAAACUAGACUACGGAAUAAAUUUGCUGAUGCUAAAUGACUCAUUUCAAUUUGUAUUUAAUAUAAAAAAAUCCAUCUUAUUUUGUACUAGCUGUACCCAGCCACGCGUUGCUGUGGCUCAGUCUGGUUAAAUGGAAAAGAAAGAAAAGAGAAAGCGCACGUUUGUAAUAUGUUUAA